Molecule: ribosomal RNA, 1334 nt
Filed under: Salmonella enterica subsp. houtenae
Lineage: Bacteria; Pseudomonadati; Pseudomonadota; Gammaproteobacteria; Enterobacterales; Enterobacteriaceae
Description: partial 23S ribosomal RNA
Rfam family: Bacterial large subunit ribosomal RNA
Source: RNAcentral
AGGCCGAAAGGCGUAGUCGAUGGGAAACGGGUUAAUAUUCCCGUACUUGGUGUUACUGCGAAGGGGGGACGGAGAAGGCUAUGUUGGCCGGGCGACGGUUGUCCCGGUUUAAGCGUGCAGGUGUGUGUUCCAGGUAAAUCCGGUUCACUUUAACACUGAGGCGUGAUGACGAGGCACCACGGUGCUGAAGCAACAAAUGCCCUGCUUCCAGGAAAAGCCUCUAAGCCUCAGGUAACAUCAAAUCGUACCCCAAACCGACACAGGUGGUCAGGUAGAGAAUACCAAGGCGCUUGAGAGAACUCGGGUGAAGGAACUAGGCAAAAUGGUGCCGUAACUUCGGGAGAAGGCACGCUGACACGUAGGUGAAGUGGUUUACCCAUGGAGCUGAAGUCAGUCGAAGAUACCAGCUGGCUGCAACUGUUUAUUAAAAACACAGCACUGUGCAAACACGAAAGUGGACGUAUACGGUGUGACGCCUGCCCGGUGCCGGAAGGUUAAUUGAUGGGGUCAGCGCAAGCGAAGCUCCUGAUCGAAGCCCCGGUAAACGGCGGCCGUAACUAUAACGGUCCUAAGGUAGCGAAAUUCCUUGUCGGGUAAGUUCCGACCUGCACGAAUGGCGUAAUGAUGGCCAGGCUGUCUCCACCCGGGACUCAGUGAAAUUGAACUCGCUGUGAAGAUGCAGUGUACCCGCGGCAAGACGGAAAGACCCCGUGAACCUUUACUAUAGCUUGACACUGAACACUGGUCCUUGAUGUGCAGGAUAGGUGGGAGGCUUUGAAGUGUGGACGCCAGUCUGCAUGGAGCCAUCCUUGAAAUACCACCCUUUAAUGGCUGGUGUUCUAACGUGGGCCCGUGAACCGGGUUGCGGACAGUGUCUGGUGGGUAGUUUGACUGGGGCGGUCUCCUCCUAAAGAGUAACGGAGGAGCACGAAGGUUGGCUAAUCCUGGUCGGACAUCAGGAGGUUAGUGCAAUGGCAUAAGCCAGCUUGACUGCGAGCGUGACGGCGCGAGCAGGUGCGAAAGCAGGUCAUAGUGAUCCGGUGGUUCUGAAUGGAAGGGCCAUCGCUCAACGGAUAAAAGGUACUCCGGGGAUAACAGGCUGAUACCGCCCAAGAGUUCAUAUCGACGGCGGUGUUUGGCACCUCGAUGUCGGCUCAUCACAUCCUGGGGCUGAAGUAGGUCCCAAGGGUAUGGCUGUUCGCCAUUUAAAGUGGUACGCGAGCUGGGUUUAGAACGUCGUGAGACAGUUCGGUCCCUAUCUGCCGUGGGCGCUGGAAGAUUGAGGGGGGCUGCUCCUAGUACGAGAGGACCGGAGUGGACGCAUCACUGGUGUU